This 750-nucleotide ribosomal RNA is filed under the name uncultured Variovorax sp. RNAcentral's name for it is "bacterial SSU rRNA". It matches the Rfam family "Bacterial small subunit ribosomal RNA", at positions 28 to 773 of the family's 1533-position model. The record is from RNAcentral. Lineage: Bacteria; Pseudomonadati; Pseudomonadota; Betaproteobacteria; Burkholderiales; Comamonadaceae.
AUUGAACGCUGGCGGCAUGCCUUACACAUGCAAGUCGAACGGCAGCGCGGGAGCAAUCCUGGCGGCGAGUGGCGAACGGGUGAGUAAUACAUCGGAACGUGCCCAAUCGUGGGGGAUAACGCAGCGAAAGCUGUGCUAAUACCGCAUACGAUCUACGGAUGAAAGCAGGGGAUCGCAAGACCUUGCGCGAAUGGAGCGGCCGAUGGCAGAUUAGGUAGUUGGUGAGGUAAAGGCUCACCAAGCCUUCGAUCUGUAGCUGGUCUGAGAGGACGACCAGCCACACUGGGACUGAGACACGGCCCAGACUCCUACGGGAGGCAGCAGUGGGGAAUUUUGGACAAUGGGCGAAAGCCUGAUCCAGCCAUGCCGCGUGCAGGAUGAAGGCCUUCGGGUUGUAAACUGCUUUUGUACGGAACGAAACGGCCUUUUCUAAUAAAGAGGGCUAAUGACGGUACCGUAAGAAUAAGCACCGGCUAACUACGUGCCAGCAGCCGCGGUAAUACGUAGGGUGCAAGCGUUAAUCGGAAUUACUGGGCGUAAAGCGUGCGCAGGCGGUUAUGUAAGACAGUUGUGAAAUCCCCGGGCUCAACCUGGGAACUGCAUCUGUGACUGCAUAGCUAGAGUACGGUAGAGGGGGAUGGAAUUCCGCGUGUAGCAGUGAAAUGCGUAGAUAUGCGGAGGAACACCGAUGGCGAAGGCAAUCCCCUGGACCUGUACUGACGCUCAUGCACGAAAGCGUGGGGAGCAAAC